GCACCUAGGGUUGGUGGGACCCCAACCUAAAUUUGGAGACACAAACACACGGCCUCUGGGUGAACGAGCCGUCAUUUUUUUUGGUGUGUGAGAAUUCUCUGUUGGAACAUCAUUUUUAGUGCACUAAAAAUUCCUUUGAGCCAUGUUCUCGGUGAGGGGAAUUGGUUGAAUGAAAGCAUAAUUGUUUACCUAUUCAUUAGCUGCUUCCGCCACACAUUGUCUUUCCCUUUUUAUUAGAAUAUUGAAAUGGUGAUUCAAAAGAGGGCAGCAGCCGCCAGAUUAAAUUUCUUUGGCUGUUUG
Molecule: long non-coding RNA, 300 nt
Filed under: Vigna radiata
Lineage: Eukaryota; Viridiplantae; Streptophyta; Magnoliopsida; Fabales; Fabaceae
Description: long non-coding RNA (VRAD_LNC002647)
Source: RNAcentral